Molecule: long non-coding RNA, 2593 nt
Organism: Piliocolobus tephrosceles (Ugandan red Colobus)
Lineage: Eukaryota; Metazoa; Chordata; Mammalia; Primates; Cercopithecidae
Source: Ensembl
CUCUGAUACGACUACGAAUGUGAUCGAUAAGACCAGUUCAGAAUUAAACCCAUUGGAUAAUAAUAAAAGUACUCAAUAUAUAUUAUUUAAAAAUUGUAUAAAAAAUACAAAUAAGAAUAAUGUACAUAAUUUGUUAGCAAUAGUUAAAGAAGACAUAAAUAUACUUAAUGAAAUUACAGAAGAUUGUUUAAACAGUUUUUUUAAUUGUAUAUAUAAAAACACAAACGAAAUAAAAUAUUCUGAUUUUAUUUUUUAACAAACACACUUUAUAAGUUAGGAAUGAAAAAUAAAAUGCGCGAUUUAGCUUAUACAGUGUUGGACAUGUUACAUAAAAAUAAAAAAAAAAAAAUAAUUUAACAUUAACUAGUUUGGAAAAUUCAAACUUAACUAGUUCGGAUAAAUCAAGCUUAACUAGUUCGGAUAAUUUAACAUUAAGUAAUGAAAAUAAUGUGGACAGUGGUAAUAAUAUAAUAAAUAGGAGUAACAUCUGUAACGACUCAAUGAAAAUCCAGUAUAAUGAAGAAAUAGAACUAUGUAUUAAAUUUAUUAACACUUUAAACAAUAGCAAUUUAUAUUUUUCUGAAUUUUACGACUAUCUAAUUAAAAAGAUCAAUUAUAUGAGUAAUAGUGAUUUAGUUUUAUUUGCCGAAGAAUGUUUUAAACAUUUUUUACGCACAAAACAUUAUUUGGAUAAAAUAGUUAAUACAUGUAUACACAAAAAUAAAAUAGAAAAUUUUAAUUAUAACCAAAUAAAACUUUUAUAUUAUUUUUUUCAUAGAUUCUGUAAAGAAUAUAAAGAAUUUUAUGAUUUAACACUUUAUAUAAUAAUAGAAAAAAUACAACAAGUUGAUCUCCCUUUUUACCAAUUAUUAUUAAAAAUAUCAAUUAAUUUUAAAAACGAACAAAAAUAUGUUGAUUUAGUUACAGCAAUAGGUAAGCAAAUGGUUUUAUUUAUACAAGAGUUGAAAAAAAACUCGAAUUUUAAUGAAGCAUUAGGAUCUGACAGUAUUAUCCAAAGUAGUAGUACUGAUGGAUGUUCUGCUUUAUUGGAUACGUCUAUAGACCAUUCUAAAAAAGAAAAUACGAAAAUACUAAAUGUAAAGUUACAAAAAAACACAAAAGAAGAAAUAUUUAUAAAUUUAAUAAAGUGUUUACAAUAUUUUGAAUAUAAUAAAAAUAACUAUGAUAAAAUUAAAAUUUUAAUUAAUUUAAUGUAUGAAUUAAUAAAUGAAAAUAUAACAUUAAUUAAAUUAUUAUGUGUUGAAGAUAUUGUAUAUUCAAUUAGUUGUUUUGCUUCUUAUAAUAAAAAAAUAAUAUUGUAUAAUACACUUUUAGAUAUAUUAUGUGAUAAAUCAAAUGAAUUAUUACAUGCUAAAAAUAUAUGUCUUUGGAUAUAUCCAAUUAUAAGUUUGUCUAAAAUAGGUUGGUUUCAUUUAAAAUAUAUUUCUAAUUUAUUUGAAUAUAUUCAAGAUAGUUAUGUAUUGAGUAGAUUAAGUGUUUUUCAACUUUUAAAAUUAUUAUCUUCAAUUGUUAAAAUUAAUGUAUAUGAUCAAAAUAUAUAUAAAAUUAUUAUAACUAAGUUAUAUAACGAAUGGAAUACAAUAAAAACAAAAUUAAUUGAUGUAGCUACUUUUUUGUGGUCAUGUGCGUAUGUUAAUAUAAUUUAUAAACCAUUAUUUGAUAGUUCAUAUGAACUAGUCAUAGAUUUAGUAAAAAAAAAUGAUUCAUUUCCUUUUAGUGACAAAACAAAAUCUUUGGUUAAUUAUAAAAAUUGUUUUGUUAAUAUAACUUGGGCAUUUAUUGUAGCUAAUUAUCACAAAACACAUGAUAAUUUUUAUCUUAUUUUAGAUUAUACAUUUAUAAAUCGAAAUCCUAACAGUAUACAAGCAUUUAAAAGAUUACACCAAAUAGCAGAUGCAUGUUUUAAAGAAAUACCACAAUAUUUAAUAAAUUUAAAAAAUUUGGAUACUCUUUACCUGUAUUGUACAGAUAAAAAAUGUAAAACUAUGAGAACAGAGUUUAGUAUUUAUAAAAAAGAAAAAGAUGCAAUAAAAAUAAGAACAAAAAUAUUAAAAGAACUUUGUAAAAUUUUAAAUAAUUUUUCUAUUUCUUAUGACCUCCAUUUUGAACCUUAUAAUAAUUCACCAUACAUAAUAGAUAUCCUUCUUAAUGAAAAAAUGAAAAUAGGUAUUUGUCUUUUUGGUAAAGAACAUUUAAUGAGAACAGUUAGCAACUCCCGAUGGGAUUACCUUAAUACUGGACUUGUUGCAUUACAGAUGAGAGUUUUAUUUGCGCAUGGUUGGCAGGUACGUGUUUUGUCCGUCUACUAAACGGGGGUGUAUGUAUCUGCUUAUAUUUGUACGUACGGACAUUUUUUUGUACAUAUAUACAUAUAUAGCUAUUCUUUUUGUACAUAUAUACAUAUAUAGCUAUUUUUUUUGUACAUAUAUACAUAUAUAGCUAUUCUUUUUGUACAGAUAUACAUAUAUAGCUAUUUUUUUUGUACAUAUAUACAUAUAUACAUAUAUAGCUAUUUUUUUUGUACAUAUAUACAUAUAUAGCUAUUCUUUUUGUACAUAUAUACAUAUAUAGC